Molecule: long non-coding RNA, 3005 nt
Organism: Astatotilapia calliptera (eastern happy)
Lineage: Eukaryota; Metazoa; Chordata; Actinopteri; Cichliformes; Cichlidae
Source: Ensembl
GGGAUAGCAGAUACUCAGGCGAUGAAUGGUUGAGAGCGCAGGUCUGAUAUACUGCUGGCAUGAUUGCUCACAGGUGGUCAGCCAGGGAGGAGCAACCGAACUCCGCCCAAAGGAGGAGGGGCCACUGUCGGAGACCUGCAGGUGCCCACCCAGACCAUGACACCGUGUCAACAAACCCAGGCAAUCCUUUUCCAUAACUGCAAACAUGAAUGCAGACAUGCAGCCCCAAUCAGACUUCAGAAGGCAAUGAACUAUGGCAGCGUGUGAUUAAGAUCUCUGCUUCACAAACACAGGUAGUGCUGCUUUUCCAUUACAUAAGUUGAUAUGAGAGCUCUCAUCAGCGAAGCAGAAUGAGACAGACUUAUGAAGACCAUCUCCUCCUCGAUUAAAUCGUCUCUGAGCAGAUAUUUUUAGAAGAGGAUUAAUUUUAAUGGCUGAGAUAAGAAGUAAGUUGUGGGUGGAGAAGGGACAAAUAAAUAAGUAAAUAGGACAUGCCGCAAAACAGGAGGCAUCGGUGGUGGUGGUGGAGGGUAAUGUGGCAGUUGUUGCGAGGCCCUGGGCAGAUCCACUGAUCUAGCAGAGAUAGAGAGGCCUUUCAUGUUUUCUCCCAGAGCUGGAGUGAUGUAAAAAUCAAAGAGAAAACCAAUGUUUGUCUUUAACGCCUCUCCCUCAUGACCUUUCAUAAAGGAACAGGUUGUCAGUUUAAAUGCUGCAUUUCUACUUUUUUUAGUUUCUAAAAAAAAAAAUGGCCAAAAGGUGAAUAGAAAAAGGAUAUAAAUUAGAUUAAAAUUAAAUGGGUUAUGUAAUUCUGAUUUUUAUUAAAUUUAACUACAGACAGACCUUUUUAUAGCAGAGAUCUUUACCAAUACUCGAAUGCAUCCAACUUUAUAACAAGUAUCAUAUUGUCUGCAAUCAUACCAGCAUAAUUGUUAUGUAAUAAUAUCAUUAUUAUAGCAAUACCGUCCGUUUUUGUUCCCCAGUGUGCACAACAACAAUCAAACCCAGGCAUGUCUGAGAGUAAGAGCCUCAUAACAGCCUUUGAUGACAAUUUAGGACCUAAAAAGGAGCCACUUCAACAACCUCUAACAAAUCUCAGUACUUCAGGUCUCCACCCAGCAGUCCUCGUAAAAUGUGAAAAUAUGUUGAUGGUGUCAUCAAACUGCGCCUGUUUUGGAAGACUGUUGCGACGUCGGUCAUAUGCACCUGCAGUUGAAUGUUAGCUGUUUUAAUUUUUUCAGAAAUCUCUCAGUCAGAACAUGCUAUAUCAUGUUUAGGUGGAAGCUAGCAAGCUAACUUCCUGCUAACUUUGGAUGCCUGGAUGUUAAACUUAAUUGUUACAUCUUGUAAAGCAGCAAAGCUGACCAUUUUAUUAAAGAUUAAAGAAUUUAGACAGUUUUUAACUCUCAGUGAUGCCACAGUGUUCGUUAGACUUUGGGAGCUGAAGCAAAUGGAGUUUUGGACCCAGAUUACUUCCCGAGGCUCCUGACUACGGUAGCCAUAAUGAUCCGAAACCCCAUCAAGCGGUGCAGCCAUUCGUAGCGUACCAAAGUUGUACUAAAAGAUUUGACAGAUUUUUUUAGCAUAAGGUGCACCAAAUUAUAAGGUGCACUGUCGAUCUUUGAGAAAAUCAAAGAAUUUUAAGUGCGCCUUAUGGUGUGAAAAAUACGGUUUACAGAAGAAAAGAAUAUAUCACAAUAUAUAUUGUUACUGCACAUGCUUCAAAUUACAUUGCAAUAUGGAUUUUAGGCCAUAUCGCCCAGCCCUACCCACAUGCAAACAAAAAACACCACUUGAAACCUCAAUAAGAUGUUCUGAUUGCUCUAAUCAGAGCUGCACAGAUACAGAUGAAGAUCCACUUCAAGAACUGAAUGUUUAUUUCCAGGUGUCAUUGACUUUAAUGUUGUGACUGAUGAAUUUAUACAGAGUUUUUAUACAGCCUAUACUGAGUUUUCAUAUGACUAUCAUCAGUAAAUAGAAGGAGAAAAAAGUUGUAUUUAUCAACUUCACAAAACAAUACCAGUAAGAUCGAGUAUUAUUAAAUAAACUGUAAGUGUUUAUAGAGACACAAUGUUUUGAAAUAAUUUUGUCUAAAGGCAAAGAAAGCUUCCCUGCAAAAAUCAACAAAAACAGGAUUUUAUUUUAAUGUAAAGGAACCAAUACAGUUAAACCUUUAAGCAUUUUAUUCACACGCAUCAGCUGGUGAUAUAUACACAUGAUUUUGUAUUCCAGUCUUUCAUAUGUUAUAAGAACAUCGCCUACAAUGAUGCGUCAUUGAGAAGUGUGCAGAGCUGACCUUUAUAACAUCACAAAACCACAACACAGUCGAGCUGCUUGUGAAGAAAGCUGAAAAGAAAAAGCAGAAAAUGGCACAUCCCACCAAAAAUACAACAAUGCACAGGUAACAUCCGCUCUAUAUGAAACUCUGAAUAUGCCAGCAGCAACUUUAUAAUGUGGUGUAUGAGAAUAGCUCCCACUGUGUGAAAAGCAGGACAAAGAAUUAUGCUGCAUUGGCAGUCUGGCUCCUUGAAUCCCUCUUCACUUUAGGAAUGAGAACAGCUUCCACUGCGGUAAGGGUGAAAACAAAAACAAAAACAGGUUUCAAUUACUGGCUCCCUGCUGCAGGUGUGGGAAAAUAUUUGUUUAUUUAAGGUCAAGGUAAAAAGGAGAAAAUCUGUGUGUAAAUCAAGUGUAACUGGCUCACUUAGAGAGCACUCACUGCUACACCGACACACGAACAGAGGUUACAUGAAGAGGAAGUCAUAGACAAUAACUCUCUGCCUUGCUUUUUAGACUAGCUCAACUGAUCCUUUGUAUCUGUUUUCUGAAAAAAAUAACACAGUUUUACUCUUAAUUAAUAGAGCACCAAUUCAGUGAACUCACUGUAUUGUCAUCAGGGUCAUUCAGUGUCAAUUGACCAAAUGCUUACAGCUUGACCAUCUCUGAUUUCGUUGAUCUUGAUGCUUUGAUGUACAGUAAGAUAGUGAAAUAAAAUUAUAGUAAAUGCA